GCGACCCCAGGAUGGGCGAGCCACCCGCCKAGUUUAA
Molecule: ribosomal RNA, 37 nt
Filed under: Dendrobium bifalce
Lineage: Eukaryota; Viridiplantae; Streptophyta; Magnoliopsida; Asparagales; Orchidaceae
Description: 26S ribosomal RNA
Source: RNAcentral